CACUGCUCUGCCUCCUCCACCACCACUGACAUCAGGAAGUCUGCAGGUGGCCGGACACCCGGCCGGGAGCACUUACUCAGAGCAAGACAUCUUGCGACAGGAACUGAACACUCGUUUUUUGGCCUCUCAGAGUGCUGACCGCGGGGCUUCCCUGGGCCCUCCGCCCUACCUGCGGACCGAGUUCCAUCAGCACCAGCACCAGCACCAGCACACCCACCAGCACACGCACCAGCACACCUUCACGCCGUUCCCCCACGCCAUCCCACCCACCGCCAUCAUGCCGACGCCAGCACCUCCCAUGAAACCAGGGAAGUGGUGUGCUAUGCAUGUUCACAUCGCCUGGCAGAUUUACCACCACCAACAGAAAGUCAAGAAACAGAUGCAGUCAGACCCACAUAAGCUGGACUUUGGACUGAAACCUGAGUUCCUGAGCCGCCCUCCAGGCCCCAGUCUUUUUGGAGCCAUCCACCACCCCCAUGACCUGGCACGGCCUUCAACUUUGUUCUCUGCCGCUGGUGCUGCACACCCAACUGGGACCCCUUUUGGGCCACCUCCUCAUCACAG
Molecule: long non-coding RNA, 564 nt
Filed under: Pan troglodytes (chimpanzee)
Lineage: Eukaryota; Metazoa; Chordata; Mammalia; Primates; Hominidae
Description: long non-coding RNA NONPTRT015683
Source: RNAcentral